UACGAAGGGGGCUAGCGUUGCUCGGAAUCACUGGGCGUAAAGGGCGCGUAGGCGGCGUUUUAAGUCAGGGGUGAAAUCCUGGAGCUCAACUCCAGAACUGCCUUUGAUACUGGGGAUCUCGAGUCCGGAAGAGGUGAGUGGAACUCCGAGUGUAGAGGUGAAAUUCGUAGAUAUUCGGAAGAACACCAGUGGCGAAGGCGGCUCACUGGUCCGGUACUGACGCUGAGGUGCGAAAGCGUGGGGAGCAAACAGG
This 253-nucleotide ribosomal RNA is filed under the name uncultured bacterium. RNAcentral describes it as "partial 16S ribosomal RNA". It matches the Rfam family "Bacterial small subunit ribosomal RNA", at positions 524 to 776 of the family's 1533-position model. The record is from RNAcentral.